RNAcentral lists this ribosomal RNA (373 nucleotides) under Mycobacterium tuberculosis. RNAcentral describes it as "bacterial SSU rRNA". It matches the Rfam family "Bacterial small subunit ribosomal RNA", at positions 552 to 923 of the family's 1533-position model. The record is from RNAcentral. Lineage: Bacteria; Bacillati; Actinomycetota; Actinomycetes; Mycobacteriales; Mycobacteriaceae.
UAUUGGGCGUAAAGCGCGCGUAGGCGGUUUUUUAAGUCUGAUGUGAAAGCCCACGGCUCAACCGUGGAGGGUCAUUGGAAACUGGAAAACUUGAGUGCAGAAGAGGAAAGUGGAAUUCCAUGUGUAGCGGUGAAAUGCGCAGAGAUAUGGAGGAACACCAGUGGCGAAGGCGACUUUCUGGUCUGUAACUGACGCUGAUGUGCGAAAGCGUGGGGAUCAAACAGGAUUAGAUACCCUGGUAGUCCACGCCGUAAACGAUGAGUGCUAAGUGUUAGGGGGUUUCCGCCCCUUAGUGCUGCAGCUAACGCAUUAAGCACUCCGCCUGGGGAGUACGACCGCAAGGUUGAAACUCAAAGGAAUUGACGGGGACCCG